UACGUAGGGUCCGAGCGUUGUCCGGAAUUAUUGGGCGUAAAGAGCUCGUAGGCGGUUUGUCGCGUCUGCUGUGAAAUCCCGAGGCUCAACCUCGGGCCUGCAGUGGGUACGGGCAGACUUGAGUGCGGUAGGGGAGAAUGGAAUUCCUGGUGUAGCGGUGGAAUGCGCAGAUAUCAGGAGGAACACCGAUGGCGAAGGCAGUUCUCUGGGCCGUAACUGACGCUGAGGAGCGAAAGCGUGGGGAGCGAACAGG
RNAcentral lists this ribosomal RNA (253 nucleotides) under uncultured bacterium. RNAcentral's name for it is "partial 16S ribosomal RNA". It matches the Rfam family "Bacterial small subunit ribosomal RNA", at positions 524 to 776 of the family's 1533-position model. RNAcentral also lists the same sequence under 1 other name. The record is from RNAcentral.